GAGUUUGAUCAUGGCUCAGAGCGAACGCUAGCGGCGAGCUUAACACAUGCAAGUCGAACGCUCGUCUUCGGACGGGAGUGGCGAACGGGUGAGUAACACGUAGGUUACCUGCCCUCUGGUGGAGGAUAACCACGGGAAACUGUGGCUAAUACUGCAUAUGGCCCACGGGUCAAAGACUUCGGUCGCCAGGGGAUGGGCCUGCGUCCCAUUAUUUAAUCCUAGUUGGCGGGGUAACGGCCCACCAAGGGUACGAUGGGUAGCUGGUCUGAGAGGAUGAUCAGCCACACUGGAACUGAGACACGGUCCAGACUCCUACGGGAGGCAGCAGUGGGGAAUAUUGCGCAAUGGGCGAAAGCCUGACGCAGCUACGCCGCGUGGGUGAUGAAGGUCUUCGGAUUGUAAAGCCCUGUCGGGAGGGAAGAAGUUCUGACGGUACCUCCCAAGAAAGCACCGGCUAACUCCGUGCCAGCAGCCGCGGUAA
This 481-nucleotide ribosomal RNA is filed under the name uncultured delta proteobacterium. Its description in RNAcentral is "bacterial SSU rRNA". It matches the Rfam family "Bacterial small subunit ribosomal RNA", at positions 9 to 523 of the family's 1533-position model. Lineage: Bacteria; Deltaproteobacteria. The record is from RNAcentral.